AGUGAACGCUGGCGGUAGGCCUAACACAUGCAAGUCGAACGGCAGCACAGUAAGAGCUUGCUCUUACGGGUGGCGAGUGGCGGACGGGUGAGGAAUACAUCGGAAUCUACUUUUUCGUGGGGGAUAACGUAGGGAAACUUACGCUAAUACCGCAUACGACCUACGGGUGAAAGCAGGGGAUCUUCGGCCCUUGCGCGAUUGAAUGAGCCGAUGUCGGAUUAGCUAGUUGGCGGGGUAAAGGCCCACCAAGGCGACGAUCCGUAGCUGGUCUGAGAGGAUGAUCAGCCACACUGGAACUGAGACACGGUCCAGACUCCUACGAGAGGCAGCAGUGGGGAAUAUUGGACAAUGGGCGCAAGCCUGAUCCAGCCAUGCCGCGUGGGUUAAGAAGGCCUUCGGGUUGUAAAGCCCUUUUGUUGGGAAAGAAAAGCAGCAGGUUAAUACCCCGCUGUUCUGACGGUACCCAAAGAAUAAGCACCGGCUAACUUCGUG
Molecule: ribosomal RNA, 492 nt
Filed under: uncultured bacterium
Lineage: Bacteria
Description: partial 16S ribosomal RNA
Rfam family: Bacterial small subunit ribosomal RNA
Source: RNAcentral